CAGCACAGAUGCACCCACCACCCAAUUUGCUACCAAUACCCCCCAUUCAUGCUCAGCAAGGUCAUCCAAAUAUGCCGCCUGCACAGCAGAUAGGCUCCCAGUCU
Molecule: non-coding RNA, 104 nt
Filed under: Ditylum brightwellii
Lineage: Eukaryota; Bacillariophyta; Thalassiosirophyceae; Lithodesmiales; Lithodesmiaceae
Source: RNAcentral